CUACGGGGGGCUGCAGUGGGGAAUAUUGGGCAAUGGGCGCAAGCCUGACCCAGCAACGCCGCGUGAGGGAAGAAUGUCUUCGGAUUGUAAACCUCUGUCCUUGGGGACGAAAAAAAUGACGGUACCCAAGGAGGAAGUUCCGGCUAACUACGUGCCAGCAGCCGCGGUAAUACGUAGGGAGCAAGCGUUGUCCGGAAUUAUUGGGCGUAAAGGGUGCGUAGGCGGCGCUGUAAGUCAGAUGUGAAAUCCCCGGGCUUAACUCGGGAGUUGCAUUUGAAACUACAGUGCUUGAGUAAAGAAGGGGUAAGUGGAAUUCCUAGUGUAGCGGUGGAAUGCGUAGAUAUUAGGAGGAACACCAGUGGCGAAGGCGACUUACUGGUCUUUUACUGACGCUGAGGCACGAAAGCGUGGGGAGCAAACAGGAUUAGAUACCCGCGUAGUC
This 442-nucleotide ribosomal RNA is filed under the name uncultured bacterium. RNAcentral describes it as "partial 16S ribosomal RNA". It matches the Rfam family "Bacterial small subunit ribosomal RNA", at positions 339 to 795 of the family's 1533-position model. The record is from RNAcentral.